This 771-nucleotide long non-coding RNA is filed under the name Setaria viridis. Its description in RNAcentral is "long non-coding RNA (SVIR_LNC009644)". The record is from RNAcentral. Lineage: Eukaryota; Viridiplantae; Streptophyta; Magnoliopsida; Poales; Poaceae.
CCGAUUGAGCUUAGAAAAAAUCAGACAUCCUUCUUCCUUGAUCAGUCGCAGCGGCGUGGUUGUAGACGAUUGCAACCGCCUCCGUCGUGUUGAAUGUGCCGAGCCAGCGCUGCUCCUUAGUGUUAGGUCCCGGAUCUCCGCUGCCUACCGGCCCUACGGUGCCGCUCUUCCUCCAUGAACAGAGCCUUGACGAGCACCAAAUGCAGCACCACGGGGAGGUUGCGCGGCGGCCGUGGCGAGCGUUCGCAUCAGAUGUGUUUUGACAGGUACAAGCCCGUGGAGUCCUGCGGCAGCCUCCUCGUCCUCCACCGUAGUGCCCCCUGUUCACGGAGCGUGCCGGCCUCUGCAUCUACGAUCCCAUGACGCCGCGUCUUCCUUCCACCCUUGGAGGCUUCUCGGCGACGAAGGCGGCACCGGUGGCUGCGUCGGACGGUUGUCCCGCUGGCUGGUCGUCGUGGAUCUGAGCGGGCUCCGUCUCCUCCGCGUGAUGCUCGACGUAGUAGCGAACCGGAGCAGUAGAAGUUUGCGCCUACUGACGGCUCCAUGUUGCGAUAGGUACCUCCUGAUGUUGCAGUAGAGAUUUUUGGAUGUUGCAACAGUUGGCUUUUGAUGUUUCAUCUGUUUGCAACAGUCCGAUUUGCUAGCAAUUAGGUGUUGCACCAACUUGUUCACGAUGUUGCAUAUGGUUAUUUUCUUUGUUUCGGCCUCUUCUUCUUUUGUUGUUGCAAUGCUGUAAGAGAUGUUUUUUGUUGUUGCAAUACUGUAAGAGGU